RNAcentral lists this ribosomal RNA (254 nucleotides) under uncultured bacterium. Its description in RNAcentral is "partial 16S ribosomal RNA". It matches the Rfam family "Bacterial small subunit ribosomal RNA", at positions 524 to 776 of the family's 1533-position model. The record is from RNAcentral.
UACGAAGGGGGCUAGCGUUGCUCGGAAUCACUGGGCGUAAAGCGCACGUAGGCGGAUUGCUAAGUCAGGGGUGAAAUCCUGGAGCUCAACUCCAGAACUGCCCUUGAUACUGGCGGUCUCGAGUCCGGGAGAGGUGAGUGGAACUGCGAGUGUAGAGGUGAAAUUCGUAGAUAUUCGCAAGAACACCAGUGGCGAAGGCGGCUUACUGGUCCGGUUCUGACGCUGAGGCGCGAAAGCGUGGGGGAGCAAACAGG